GACGAACGCUGGCGGCGUGCUUAACACAUGCAAGUCGAACGGAAAGGCCCUGCUUUUGUGGGGUGCUCGAGUGGCGAACGGGUGAGUAACACGUGAGUAACCUGCCCUUGACUUUGGGAUAACUUCAGGAAACUGGGGCUAAUACCGGAUAGGAGCUCCUGCUGCAUGGUGGGGGUUGGAAAGUUUCGGCGGUUGGGGAUGGACUCGCGGCUUAUCAGCUUGUUGGUGGGGUAGUGGCUUACCAAGGCUUUGACGGGUAGCCGGCCUGAGAGGGUGACCGGGCCACAUGGGAAUGGGAGACCGCCCAGAAUCCUACGGGGGGGAGGAGGGGGGAAAUAUUGAACAUGGGCGGAAGGCCGAUGCAGCAACGCCGGGGGGGGGAUUGAGGCCUUUGGGGUUGAAACCGCUUUCGCCUGUGACGAAGCGUGAGUGACGGUAAUGGGUAAAGAAGCACCGGCUAACUACGUG
This 468-nucleotide ribosomal RNA is filed under the name uncultured bacterium. RNAcentral describes it as "partial 16S ribosomal RNA". It matches the Rfam family "Bacterial small subunit ribosomal RNA", at positions 28 to 507 of the family's 1533-position model. The record is from RNAcentral.